Acanthosepion pharaonis is the source of this 98-nucleotide non-coding RNA. NCBI's taxonomy places the organism in Eukaryota, Metazoa, Mollusca, Cephalopoda, Sepiida, Sepiidae. The record is from the annotation of a GenBank genome assembly.
UUACAGUCAAAUCAAGCUGAAAACACUGGUCCUCAUCUGAUUACUGAAGUUAAGCAGUGCUGAGCCCAAUCAGUACUUAGAUGGGGGACCACUUGGUA